Molecule: ribosomal RNA, 216 nt
Filed under: Triticum aestivum (bread wheat)
Lineage: Eukaryota; Viridiplantae; Streptophyta; Magnoliopsida; Poales; Poaceae
Description: partial small subunit ribosomal RNA
Source: RNAcentral
AUGUGCGGGUGCGCGGAGGCGCUCGUGAGGGCGGUGGUGGCCUUCUUCAACGCCUUCCUCGUCGACUGCUUCCUCUUAUGCUUCCUCCCCUGCCGCCCCCGCCCCGGCCCGAACAGCCCCGCCUCCGACCACUGGGAUCCGCUCGUGCCCAAGGACUGGCAGGCGAGGCGCUCCCGGCCUGGACGAAGAGAAAGGUGCCCUCAGUCACAUGCGUGA